UGCCCCAGGAGAGGUUGAUCUGAAGCCACUCUGCUCUUUGUCACCUUCACUGAAAACUUGGUUAAAGAGUAUGAGGAAGAUGAGACCAGCUGUAAGUCUGAGCCCCGGUCUUGGUAAGGGAGGACCUAGGGGACUGGAGGAGACAUUCCAUUUAACUCCCGUUCUUUCCCAUCAGGCCUGUAACUGGAGGGUGUCCUGGGCAACCUCUGAGAGAGGCCUGAGGCCUCCUGUUGGGCCAUUGCAUAGCUCUGGAAAUGUUAUUUCCGUGAACUGCAAGAUAAGAGGAACUGGUCAAAGGUAACAGAGAAAGGUUGGCUAGACAAGGCCACCAUAGAAACUCUUUGCAACCCUUUUCUCCAACUGGCUCUCUGAGUGUGGAAGCUGCUGAGACUUGGCCACUAGGCAAGAUGAACUGAGAAAACCAUUCAUAGAGAAUACUGAACUAUCUGCCACACACUGUAGGUCACCUGACCACUCUCAACCUCUUCUAACUGACACUUGAUUUGAAGAUUCCGGGGUGACUUCGAACUUGACUCAGACUGCUAUCAUUCCCAUCUACGGGGCACCGGGAGACAGUUCUGAGUGGACACAGUGGCCCCUGCCUUUUGGCAUCUGGGAGAGGCCAAGCACAGUUGUGCUGGCGCCAUGUUUGCCCUAGAGACUGUACCACGUGGUCCUCUUCACUAUGCUCUCAGAGGAUACUUAAGCUGUUAGACUACAGACAAAGGCAAGAUGAAUGAUGUUUGUGUAGUAUAUCUCUAUUUCCAGUUCUACAGGGAGCCUGUCCUGGACAAACUGACAGAUGUCUCUCAGUAAAUAGACAGGAGGAGCAGUGGUAUCUAAGCAUAAAACUCUUCGAACAUGGAGUCUGAAGGAUGGACUGACCGUUUGCAAUGAUAUCUCCUAGCAACCAUCAAAUCCACAACAAUGUAUUGAGUACCUGCAGAGCAGGCCUCUUUAUGAUUGGUGUCUAAAGUUAUCACAUUGAAAUGGUGGGCCCUCCAUGUUCCAAGUCUCAAAGUACUUGCACAUACAUCUGUCGCUCAACAAAACUCAGGGAGUCACCUAAGACCCUGUUGUCACCCCUAUGUGUAGCCAACAAUAAACACAAGUGACAGCUGUGGUUUAUUAAAGACUGUGUUCCACACACUCUUACACAUGCUAACUUGUUCGCCAUCAUAGUGGCUUUGUGUGAUUGUUCUCA
This 1204-nucleotide small RNA is filed under the name Rattus norvegicus (Norway rat). RNAcentral describes it as "uncharacterized LOC108348556". The record is from RNAcentral. Lineage: Eukaryota; Metazoa; Chordata; Mammalia; Rodentia; Muridae.